This is a long non-coding RNA of Falco peregrinus (peregrine falcon), 787 nucleotides long. RefSeq lists it as uncharacterized. The record is from RefSeq and is a predicted model, not a curated record. The transcript has 3 exons. NCBI's taxonomy places the organism in Eukaryota, Metazoa, Chordata, Aves, Falconiformes, Falconidae.
GAUGUACUUUUGUGUUUUGCUCCCACCUACUACUUGCAAGUAAAGGCUGUGAAGUCGUUUUGCUUUUCCUCUGUUUAGAGCAGUGUGUGAAAGCAUAGUUCAGGCUGCGUAGGCACUCAGUCCUGCACAGCUCUGCAUUUAACACCUGGGAUGCUCUGUGUCAGACCUGAGAAACCUGUUCUGAAGCUUGUGAAAUGCUGUUGAAAGAUUCCCCCUGCCCUUGAUGGGCUGUAGAAAGGCAGACAGGCACGCAGCUGGACUGAUCCAAUAGUGAUGGGCGAAAACCAACCCCUGGCUUACAAAAGCAGGUGGCUGGAAAACACCAUUUAAAUGAGACCAGCCACGGGCGCGUCAUGUCUGGUUUGGAGUGAGCUCUUGGCUUAAUGGGUGAGUUUUUAAUCUGUUUUAAUCUGCAUCCCAAGUGGCACAUCCAUAGACCUGAUUUAGCAAUUUGGGGGAUGCAGGAGGAGGUGAGCUUGGGGAUGUGGUCCCCUCCCAGGUGGUGCAUGGAUAAAUACCUGUCUGUACUUGCCCCAAGCAAAAAUUUAACAUGCAGCAGAUUAAAGUGGGGUCUCGGUAAGAUCGUAACCUUGUUUGGGAUCGGCUGCUUUAAUCUGCAGUGAUGAUUAGAAAGGAGAAGGAGAGUCCUGUGGAGGAAAAUAGCAUUAUAUGGCUCUGGGUAGCACCUUGACAGCAGAAAAAUCAGAAAGCAGAGGAUGAGGGAUAAGCUGAGGGGUUGAGUGCUGGCAGGAAUGUGGGGAGGGACAGGGCUACCCCGCAGCACCAG